This 413-nucleotide ribosomal RNA is filed under the name uncultured microorganism. RNAcentral describes it as "bacterial SSU rRNA". It matches the Rfam family "Archaeal small subunit ribosomal RNA", at positions 330 to 745 of the family's 1478-position model. The record is from RNAcentral.
GUGCACCAGGCGAGAAACUUCACACUGUGCGAAAGCACGAUGAGGGAAUCCCAAGUGCUUGCACGUAAGUGUAAGCUGUUUCUCUGUUUAAAACGCAGAGAGAGUAAGGGCUGGGUAAGACGGGUGCCAGCCGCCGCGGUAAUACCUGCAGCUCAAGUGGUGACCGUUAUUAUUGGGCCUAAAACGUCCGUAGCCGGUUUAAUAAAUGCCUGGGUAAAUCGUGUAGCUUAACUAUACGAAUUCCGGGUAGACUGUUAAACUCGAGACCGGGAGAAGUUAGAGGUACUCCUGGGGUAGAGGUGAAAUUCUGUAAUCCUAGGGGGACCACCAGUGGCGAAGGCGUCUAACUAGAACGGGUCUGACGGUGAGGGACGAAGCCCUGGGGCGCAAACGGGAUUAGAUACCCGUGUAGU